RNAcentral lists this long non-coding RNA (420 nucleotides) under Lathyrus oleraceus (garden pea). RNAcentral's name for it is "Pisum sativum (pea) long non-coding RNA (PSAT_LNC036736)". Lineage: Eukaryota; Viridiplantae; Streptophyta; Magnoliopsida; Fabales; Fabaceae. The record is from RNAcentral.
AAAUGAGUUUGAUGAGUUGUGUUGAUUUUACCUUGAAUAAGGGUUUCUGAAAAAAAAAGUGUGUGUAAUUAGAUUGCACUAAAGUCUAUGGGCGGAGGUGAAUAUUUUAGACAAACAAGUCAAACGUCUUGUGUCCAAAAUAAUCAGAGUAAGGGUAUGAAAGUUCAAUUCUUACUCAUUCUCAACCACUUAAGGCCCGUGGCGCACAAUGCUAAUCAUAGUUUUAUUGUAUUUUUGAAUUUGAUUAUGAAAAUGUCACUUAACGUUGAAUCAAUGGUUGGUUUAUUUGAUUGUGAAAUUGGUGAUGUAAUUGAUAUAAAAAGUAACCAAACAAGAAAGAAAAUUGUCUCAUUGUAAGAUAGGCCCAAGAGAAAGCCUUGUGUUUGCAAAAGUGAUCUAAGCUAACAAAGGAUAAUGGUC